UACGUAGGGAGCAAGCGUUGUCCGGAAUUAUUGGGCGUAAAGAGCGUGUAGGCGGCCAGACAGGUCCGUUGUGAAAACUCGAGGCUCAACCUCGAGACGUCGAUGGAAACCGUCUGGCUAGAGUCCGGAAGAGGAGAGUGGAAUUCCUGGUGUAGCGGUGAAAUGCGCAGAUAUCAGGAAGAACACCUAUGGCGAAGGCAGCUCUCUGGGACGGUACUGACGCUGAGACGCGAAAGCGGGGGGAGCGAACAGG
RNAcentral lists this ribosomal RNA (253 nucleotides) under uncultured bacterium. RNAcentral's name for it is "partial 16S ribosomal RNA". It matches the Rfam family "Bacterial small subunit ribosomal RNA", at positions 524 to 776 of the family's 1533-position model. The record is from RNAcentral.